Long non-coding RNA from Myotis myotis, 1304 nucleotides. RefSeq lists it as uncharacterized. NCBI's taxonomy places the organism in Eukaryota, Metazoa, Chordata, Mammalia, Chiroptera, Vespertilionidae. The record is from RefSeq and is a predicted model, not a curated record. The transcript has 3 exons.
UUGGUUGCCUCCCGCACACCAAGGUGCAUGCCCUUGGCAGGAAUUGAACCCGGGACCAUUUGGUCAGCAGGCCAACACUCUGUCCACUGAGCCAAACCGGCCAGGGCUCAGUUUGAACUUGUAAAUUACAGAGGAGUCCCUGCCCCACCAGGCCUGUUUGGCUUUUCCCGACCUGAGUCUUUUGAAGAUGGGACUCUAGUUGGCUUGGAGAAUGGCUCCUGUGCUAGACGUUGCCUCGCGGUUACAUUCAGGGCCCCAUGGAAACGCUUCCUAUGCACGUGCUUACUUUAUAAACAAACAAACAAACAAACAAACGGAGCUGGCACUUGUUUCCGCUUUUUAAAAAGAGGCCACUUUCUCUCUCAGGCGGAGUUUGCUGCCUUCCCCAUGAGUGGGUCAGCCCGUGCUUUCUACGUGUCCCUGACACACGCCACUCCAGGAAGCGGUUCGACACCUUUCCCGGGGGGCAGACAUCUUCACAGCUCUUCACUGCAAUUCGCUCCCCGGGGGAUCUGGUUCGCUCAUCUGCCCGAGACGUUCUGCUAGCGCACAUCCGUGUCGGUGUCUGACCACGAACGCGAUGGCUCCCGCGCAGACCCGGGAAGCCGCACAGAACGGAACGGAUGCUCCUGCGCGAUGACCGGGCGCAGAGCGCUGGGGGUCGGGGUGCUGGCCCGUCUGCCACGACCCCGUGACCCUGAGCAAGCCCUGGGCCCCUCGGCCUCUCGGGCUCCAGGGUUCUUAUCUGUCAGAAGACGGGGUAGAACAAGCUGAGGAUGAAAACCCUCUGAGACGCGUCUAACUGAAACGCAGAAGAAGCCUCGAAGCAUUGUCACGACGUGGAGGCGCUCCACCAAGGUUUAACAGCGGCAUGGCGAAGGGCUGGGACGUGCAGCCCUGGGGCACCAUGGCUUCUGGUGCCAGAGCGUUCUGAGUCUGCGAAUAAUUAUCUGGUUUAACUGAUGGAUACCCUGAAGACCCUGAAAUCUCUAGAUCCUCAGAGCCACGGGAGCCUGGAGAGAAGAGAAGAGGGUGAAAUGAGGAGUCAACCAGUUCCUGGGCCAGACCUUGGGGUGGGAGGAGGGGAGAGGGGGAGAGAGAGGGAGGGAGAGAGGGAGAGCCAGAGAGUGGCCCUCAAGGCAAUGCCCAUGGAUUUUGGGAGUCUUCAGAGACACAUCAAUCAAUCACAAUGAAUGGGGCCUUUUGGAUCCUGUUUCUAACCUGUUUUAAAAAAAUUAUAGAACAAUCGAGGAAAUGGAACAUUGACUGGAUUCUGGUGAAAUUAAAGAAUUAUUCUCAUGCUA